RNAcentral lists this ribosomal RNA (164 nucleotides) under Glycine tomentella. Its description in RNAcentral is "5.8S ribosomal RNA". It matches the Rfam family "5.8S ribosomal RNA". Rfam says of the family: 5.8S ribosomal RNA (5.8S rRNA) is a component of the large subunit of the eukaryotic ribosome. It is transcribed by RNA polymerase I as part of the 45S precursor that also contains 18S and 28S rRNA. Lineage: Eukaryota; Viridiplantae; Streptophyta; Magnoliopsida; Fabales; Fabaceae. The record is from RNAcentral.
ACAAUGACUCUCGGCAACGGAUAUCUCGGCUCUUGCAUCGAUGAAGAACGUAGCGAAAUGCGAUACUUGGUGUGAAUUGYAGAAUCCCGUGAACCAUCGAGUCUUUGAACGCAAGUUGCGCCCGAAGCCAUUAGGCCGAGGGCACGCCUGCCUGGGUGUCACAC